This is a long non-coding RNA of Lagenorhynchus albirostris (white-beaked dolphin), 570 nucleotides long. RefSeq lists it as uncharacterized. NCBI's taxonomy places the organism in Eukaryota, Metazoa, Chordata, Mammalia, Artiodactyla, Delphinidae. The record is from RefSeq and is a predicted model, not a curated record. The transcript has 3 exons.
GCAGGACCACACUCGUAGGAGCGGGUAUAAAGGGUGAAGCCAGCACUGGCUACCACAGCUCCACCUGCCCUCAGGAUGAAGCCUAGCAGCCUUACCGUCUUCCUGGUGAUAUUUGCCUUUGGAUUCCUGACGUCCUGGGUUGUGGAAGGUGGUCUCAGAGAAAAAUGUAAACCUGGAGCCUGCCCCUUCCUACGCCUUAGGAAGUGCAUUGGCUAUGAACCCUCUGAAUGCCGGAAUGACUGGCAGUGUCCACGAAGGCAAAAAUGCUGCUCCAACGCUUGUGGCCACAAAUGCAUGGAUCCUGUAUUCGCGGAAGACUCAGGUGAGAAAUUGCCAGCGCCAUUUGCAUACAAUUAGCACUUCCUGGUCUGUGUGACUUGGGGAUUACCUUUUUCUGCCAAGCCUGGAAAAAAUGAGAGCACCUUGGUGAAGAUGUGGUUCUGUGACCAAUACCUCCUUGGGGGCCAAGAUUUGGCCUGUUUUAUCUAUGUAUCCCCAGCAUCCAACGUGAAGCUUGACACACGACAGGAGAUGUCUGCUGAUUAGUAAAUAAAUAAAUGUACCAGGUUU